Molecule: non-coding RNA, 58 nt
Organism: Aedes albopictus (Asian tiger mosquito)
Lineage: Eukaryota; Metazoa; Arthropoda; Insecta; Diptera; Culicidae
Source: Rfam
UAGCCUAGUGGUUAAGGCUAUGGAUCACCAAUCCGCAGACGGCGGGUUCGACUCCCGU